RNAcentral lists this small nuclear RNA (107 nucleotides) under Carlito syrichta (Philippine tarsier). Lineage: Eukaryota; Metazoa; Chordata; Mammalia; Primates; Tarsiidae. The record is from RNAcentral.
GUGUUCACUUCAGCAGCACAUGUGCUAAAACUGGAACGAUACAGGGAAGAUUAGCGUGGCCCCAAUGCAAGGAUAACACACAAAUUUGUGAAGUGUUCCAUGUUUUU